RNAcentral lists this signal recognition particle RNA (99 nucleotides) under Treponema sp. Its description in RNAcentral is "signal recognition particle sRNA small type". It matches the Rfam family "Bacterial small signal recognition particle RNA". Rfam says of the family: The signal recognition particle (SRP) is a universally conserved ribonucleoprotein involved in the co-translational targeting of proteins to membranes. The record is from RNAcentral. Lineage: Bacteria; Pseudomonadati; Spirochaetota; Spirochaetia; Treponematales; Treponemataceae.
UGCCAGGAACCAUGCGAGGAACCGCCGCCUAACUCCGCCAGGUCCGGAAGGAAGCAACGGUAAGCGGUUGGUUUCGGCGCCGUGGAUAUCCUGGCGGGG